This 72-nucleotide transfer RNA is filed under the name uncultured Phycisphaerae bacterium. RNAcentral's name for it is "tRNA-Met-CAT". It matches the Rfam family "tRNA". Rfam says of the family: Transfer RNA (tRNA) molecules are approximately 80 nucleotides in length. Lineage: Bacteria; Pseudomonadati; Planctomycetota; Phycisphaerae. The record is from RNAcentral.
GGGAGCGUAGCUCAACGGUAGAGCAGGGGACUCAUAAUCCCUUGGUUCAGGGUUCGAAUCCCUGCGCUCCCA